UAUUCUACCGUUGCGUUGCACUUUCUUCCAUGCGAGUCGAAGUGUUUGAAAUGAGAGAAAAUGUCGAUUAAUUGUCCAUCUUUGUCGAGUUUGACCACAGAUGAACUUAUUAAAAAUAUAAUUGAAGCUGGCAUACAGAUUAAUGAAGAAGAAGCAAGAAAAUUCAGGGAAAAUUAAGUGGAUGGAUAAACAGUGGAUUGUGGACUCACUCAAGCCAUGGUUGCUUUCCUGUUUGAUGGUUCCUUCAAAAAGCAACUAAAAUUUCAACAGUUUGUACACCAAUACCAGGAGAAUGAGACCAUUGUUGUAUUAGAGCCAGUACCAGUUGAACUCGCUAAGUCUAAGGAAGAACUCCAGCCUCAUCCUUUAACUGAUCCAAGUGGUGAAGCAGCUCAGAGGGAGCCAUCGCCCAAGUAUUAACUUCACAAACUCACUUCCGGUUUAUUUGGGUAUUUAUACAGCAUGCUCCCUCUGUUCAACGCGAAGUAUCGUAUCUGUGUGUUACAUACCAAGACUUGCUGUCCUUGCCUUCUGUCGAGAUUUCUACAUGUAUGACCCUUGCCUGUUCCAUAGUGACUAUGAGUUUCGGUUUUGUGUUCCGUUUCGGGGUUCCUAGUCUUUGCUUUCUGUUGUUGACCUUUUUUGCUUUGCCUUCUCGACUACGGUUAUUGCCUGCUUUGUUUAAAUAAAGAUCUGUGUAUGGAUUCAGACACUCCUGCCUCCGACGAGUCCUUACAGAAUACUUCGCCGAAUAUGAGUCCAGCGGAUCUCCAAGCGGCGUUGUGGCGACGGGUAGUUCUCCUCCAUGCUUACCAGGCGGAACUGGAUUCUUUGAAAGCCGCCAACCAACAACUCCAGCAACAAUCACAGAGCCAAGCAGCCGCCACAGCACCAGUGUUUCGUGAAGAGCUCAACCGGGAUCUGAAAGCAGAAAUGGCGUGCCGACACACAAACAUGAUGCUGUCACAGUAUAUCUCCACGUUGGAUAACCUACGCUGCCAGCAUCGACCUCAAGCCUCCACUUCACGCUCCACUCCUUGCUGUAUGAUGGAUGCCCACUACCCCAGGGAAGACACCUCUGAACCCAUGCAACUGGGACGGACUUGUGAUUCUGAGGAGGAGCUCCAACUCUGCUACUACUGUGGGAAACCAGGUCAAAGAGUCUUUCACUGUCCAGAGAAACCUACCCCAUCACAGGUAGAAACUGUUAAGCUGUUUUCUAAGGUUUCACUUCCUGCUUUCCUACUAGAUGCUGACUCUCGCUUCUCUAUAACAGCGCUAAUUGACUCUGGGUCAGCGGUCAACCUCAUUGACAGCAACCUGGUGCACGAGCUACACCUACCCACCAUUCUGUGCACCCCACCAUUGAAAGUGACCGCCAUUAAUGAUCAGCCCAGUGGGGAGGGCCUCCUUACUCACCAAACAAUGCUCAUGGAAUUACAGAUCAGAUUAUUCCACGUGAAAGACUUACUUUCUUUGUCAUCUCUUCUCCAUCCAACCCUGUCAUCCUAGGCCUCCCCUGGCUACAGCUUCAUGACCCUUGUAUUUCCUGGAAAGUGGGAGACAUACUAAAAUGGUCCACCUACUCUGUAAAGAACUGUUUUCAUGAUUACACUCAAUGCCCAUGUUUGUCAAUCUCCAUUGUAAGCCCUGAGUCUUCCAACCUGAUAACACUCUCAAGGGAAUACCAAGAUCUAGGGGAGGUUUUCAGUAAAGAAAAGGCCACUAAGCUACCUCCACACAGACCCUGGGACUGCACCAUAGAACUCCUCCCCAACGCCAUGCCACCUAAGAGCUGAGUUUACCCUCUCUCUCUCCCGGAGAAAAAAGCCAUGGAGGACUACAUAGAGGAGGCUCUCACAGCAGGAUAUAUCCGGCCCUCAACCUCUCCUGCAGCAGCGGGGUUCUUCUUCAUGGAGAAAAAAGAUGGGGGGCCUUCGGCCAUGCAUUGAUUACCGGGGCCUGAACUCAGUCAUUGUGCCAUACCCUUAGCCUCUUUCCUUAGUUCCAGUAGCUCUCGAACAGUUACAAGGGGCCAAAGUGUUCACCAAGCUUGACCUGCGCAGUGCCUUUAACUUGAUCAGGAUUAGGGAGGGGGAUGAGUGGAAAACGGCGUUUCACACUACUCACGGACAUUACGAGUACUUGGUCAUGCCCUAUGGACUUACUAACGCCCCGGCAGUGUUCCAGUCCCUUAUAAACAAGGUUUUCAGAGACAUGCUACACUGAUAUGUCAUUGCUUACAUAGAUGACAUCUUAAUCUACUCCACCAACCUUGAACAACAUAUUACCCUUGUUUGUGUAGUCCUCCGCCGCCUUGCUGAGCACAAUCUUUUUGUGAAGUUGGAGAAAUGCACCGAAUUCCACCGAUCCUCCAUGAUGUUUCUAGGGUAUGUGAUUUCACAGAAUUGAGUGGAGAUGGAUCAAUCUAAGGUGUCUGCCAUCACAUCCUGGCCAGAGCCCACCAAUAUCAGGGGACUGCAGCGAUUCAUGGGGUUUGUGAACUUCUACUGCCGAUUCAUCUGCAACUACAGCACCAUAGCCAGCCCAUUGACUUCACUGUUAAAGGGUAAACUACAGAAGCUGAGAUGGACUGACCAAGCCAGAGCAGCUUUUCAGAGACUAAAACAAAGCUUUUCCUCGGCUCCCAUACUCUGUCACCCCAACCCGGAGUUACCAUUCACAGUGGAGGUGGAUGGAGCAGUACUUUCCCAAUGCCAACCCGACUCCGGCAAGCUGCACCCAUGCACCUUCUUCUCUAGAAAACUUACACCGGCAGAGAUUAAUUACGAUGUGGGGAACCGGGAGCUACUCGCCAUGAAAGCCACUCUGGAGGAAUGGAGACACUGGUUGGAAGGGGCCAAUCAACCGUUCCUGACCCUUACUGAUCAUCGUAACCUCACAUAUCUCCGUGAGGCUAAACACCUCAAUCCACGCCAAACCCAGUGGGCUCUGUUCUCCCGUUUCAAGUUCUCUGCCUCUUAUCGCCCUGGUUCCAAGAACGGGAAAGCGGAUGCUCUCUCCAGAAUUCACAAAAUCGUUGAACCACCUGCAUGCCCUGAAUCCAUCCUAGGAUCCUAGACUAGGAUCCAUCCAUCCUAGUCUUUCCUAGUAGCCCCAAUAUGCUGGGACAUUCUGGAGGAGAUUGAAUGGGUCCACUCUUCUGAAGCUCCUCCCGCAAAUUGUCCACCCGCCAAAUUGUAUGUACCCACAGUGUUUCACCAGAGAGUAAUCCAGUGGGCCCACGAGAGCCCCAGUAUGGGACACCUCGGCAUCCAUCACACCACCCAGCUGCUGCGUGAAAGGUUCUGGAGGCCGUCUCUCAAUAGAGAUGUAGAGGAGUUCGUCCGAACAUGUCCAGUGUGUGCCCAAUCCCGAACAAACCACCAUCUACCUGAAGGCCUGUUAGAACCACUGCCCAUCCCAUGGCCACCCAGGUCUCACCUAUCCAUAGACUUUCUCACAGAUCUCCCAGAAUCUCAAGGGUUCACUGCAGUCAUGGUGGUAAUCGAUCGGUUUUCAAAGGCAAACUGACCCACAUCUACCCACGUCUAUGGAGACCGCCGAUUAGGAGACAGAAGAUCCAGGUCAACCGCCGGUGACGCCCACACCCGGACUACCAGGUGGGCCAAAGUGUGUGGCUCUCCACACAGAACCUGAGACUAAAAUUGCCCUGCUGUAAGCUCAGCCCCAAAUUCAUAGGUCCAUUUAAGAUUGUUCGCCAGGUCAACCCUGUCUCUUACCAUCUAGAGCUGCCUGUUUUCUAUCGCAUAUCACCCACGUUUCAUGUCUCUCUACUCAAGACCUGUCAUGAGCCCCAGACCCCUGGCCCCGCUUCCCAUGAAUCACCUCCUCCCUUGGACAUUGACGGUUCCCUCGCCUAUCCGGUUCGCGCUAUCCUCAACUCAUGUCGUCGUGGAAACCGCCUUCAGUACUUGGUGGACUGGGAGGGGUAUGGCCCAGAGGAAUGCGGCAGACAUUCUAGACCCAACACUCAUGGAGCAGUUUCACCAAAACUUCCCCAGCAGACCCACUCCUCGCCCACGGGGAUGUCCUCAUUGUCGAACACCAGGAGGUGUUCCUAGAGGGGGGGUUCUGUCACAGUGCAAGCAGAGCCAGAACACCAGAGGGAGCCAUCGUCCGAGUAUUAACUUUAUGAACUUACUUCUGGUUUAUUUGGGUAUUUAUACAGCAUGCUCCCUCUGUUCAAUGUGAAGUAUCGUAUCUGUGUGUUACAUACCAAGCCUUGCUGUUAUUCUGUCGAGACUUCUACCUGUAUGACCCUUGCCUGUUCCAUAGUGACUACGAGUUUCGGUUUUGUGUUUCAGUUUUGGUUCCUAGUCUUUGCUUUCCGGUUUUGACCUUUUUUGCCUUGCCUUCUCGACUACGAUUAUUGCCUGCUGUGUUUAAAUAAAGAUCUGUAUAUGGAUUCAGACACUCCUGCCUCCAACAAGUCCUUACACCAAGUAAGACGUGAUGCCAAGGAACCGUGUCACACAGUGCCAAAAGUACUCAACAAAAUAAUCAGAAUGCUGUAUGAAAUGAUGGCAGAAAACACCCUGUAUUCAACUAAUGCAGAGUAUAUUCAAGUUGCCAAGGCACUGAUUGUGAAAUACCCUUUCCUGAGAGAUAAGGAAGGAUAAGAAGGCUAUGAAACUUGUUGGGGAGAAUUCAACGUCUAUUGAGGCCCAUGUGAACGUGCUACAAAGUAUCGGAAGACAUUUCCAGACAUCUCGACUGUUAAAGACCGCAUGGCACGAACAUUCACCUGGAAACAUCGAGAGAUCAUAGAAGGAAUGUCUGUGGAGGAUGUACUCAAAAAAUAUCCAUACUUAAGAACACCUGCUGCACGGGACCCUGCUACACCCUUUCUAACCAUACAACUGCUGGACGAUGACUGGAAAAUGGCAAUCAUUGGAAGAGGGCUCAGUGUGGUGAAAGUAGAUGGUAUAGAAGUGUGCCAGUGCACCAGCCUUGAUGAAGCCUUCUUAACAGCCUUCUCUAUGUAUUUUGCUUUCAACAUUGCAUAUCCACCACACCUGAAAAACACAUUGACUUUUCUUCAGAGGCGCAUUGUUGACAUUGUGGAAGAGGAAGACAAGCCGCUGCCAGUAACUUUACUCCAGAUGAUUAACCUUUUUUAUUAGAUCCUCAUGCCUCAAAUGUUCCAUUGCCCAAAGUGCAAGUUUGAUUUUAUACAUGUAUAUAAGAAUUAUAUAUGAAAUUUGAUUUUAUAAAGAAUAUCCAGUAUAUUAGUUAAAGUGAGUUGCUAAAGUUCUGUAUUUUACUCCUAGAAGUGGUAAUUGUUUUUACAAACACUUGUUUACACUGCCUAAGCGUUUUUCACAGUAAACUGACUAAUUACUGUUAUUCAGCAUGAUGCUUCUAGUUUUGUUAAGGAAUUGAAACAUUCUACAUGUUAAAUGAAUUUCGUUAAUGUUGGGUGCAGAACAUCCAGUAUAUGAGUUUUGAGAAUGCUCUGUCAUUUUAUACUCAGAAUUCCAUGUUUAUGAUUAAAUUGUGAAAUAUG
Molecule: long non-coding RNA, 5530 nt
Organism: Hemibagrus wyckioides
Lineage: Eukaryota; Metazoa; Chordata; Actinopteri; Siluriformes; Bagridae
Exons: 6
Source: RefSeq, a predicted model, not a curated record